GCCCCAAUCAACCAGGGUUUCAUGUGCACGGACUUACUGCAGGUCAUUGUGAAAACAUGUACAACACAGUUCAUGGAUACAUCUCUAAGCCUCUUUAAUGGAAAUUGAAAUAAGGAAAAGGCAAUUCUGUUAUUCGCCUGGAGGAGAAUAAGCUCUUUCUACGUAACUUCAUCUCCCAAUGCACAUUACUUGUGGGAUGGCUGGCUAUUAGAAUGUGCAAUUCCUCUUCCAGCUUUGUGAAUCCAUCUAAAGGAUGCCUGAAGCAGAAGUGGAAACCCCAUGUAUACUCGUCACGACCUACACAAGAACUCGAAGCCUUCCAACACGCAGAAAUUGUUUUGUGAGACUCACCACCAGAUGGCAGCGUUCUCAGAGGACCAGUUUCCUCGCUAUGGUCCAGGGCCUUUCACUUUCCCACGUGGACCUCCUCCUUUU
RNAcentral lists this long non-coding RNA (435 nucleotides) under Chinchilla lanigera (long-tailed chinchilla). Its description in RNAcentral is "lncRNA (ENSCLAG00000027425.1)". Lineage: Eukaryota; Metazoa; Chordata; Mammalia; Rodentia; Chinchillidae. The record is from RNAcentral.